AGAGUUUGAUCCUGGCUCAGGACGAACGCUGGCGGCGUGCCUAAUACAUGCAAGUCGAGCGAGCAGAACCAGCAGAUUUACUUCGGUAAUGACGCUGGGGACGCGAGCGGCGGAUGGGUGAGUAACACGUGGGGAACCUGCCCCAUAGUCUGGGAUACCACUUGGAAACAGGUGCUAAUACCGGAUAAGAAAGCAGAUCGCAUGAUCAGCUUAUAAAAGGCGGCGUAAGCUGUCGCUAUGGGAUGGCCCCGCGGUGCAUUAGCUAGUUGGUAAGGUAACGGCUUACCAAGGCGAUGAUGCAUAGCCGAGUUGAGAGACUGAUCGGCCACAUUGGGACUGAGACACGGCCCAAACUCCUACGGGAGGCAGCAGUAGGGAAUCUUCCACAAUGGACGCAAGUCUGAUGGAGCAACGCCGCGUGAGUGAAGAAGGUUUUCGGAUCGUAAAGCUCUGUUGUUGGUGAAGAAGGAUAGAGGUAGUAACUGGCCUUUAUUUGACGGUAAUCAACCAGAAAGUCACGGCUAACUACGUGCCAGCAGCCGCGGU
RNAcentral lists this ribosomal RNA (546 nucleotides) under Lactobacillus sp. EG12. RNAcentral's name for it is "bacterial SSU rRNA". It matches the Rfam family "Bacterial small subunit ribosomal RNA", at positions 8 to 521 of the family's 1533-position model. Lineage: Bacteria; Bacillati; Bacillota; Bacilli; Lactobacillales; Lactobacillaceae. The record is from RNAcentral.